GAGGUUGUGGUUCAGUGGUAGAGUGCUUGCCUGGCAUGCAUGAGGCACUGGGUUCAAUCCUCAGCACCACA
RNAcentral lists this transfer RNA (71 nucleotides) under Marmota monax (woodchuck). RNAcentral's name for it is "tRNA.Ala". It matches the Rfam family "tRNA". From Rfam's summary of the family: Transfer RNA (tRNA) molecules are approximately 80 nucleotides in length. The record is from RNAcentral. Lineage: Eukaryota; Metazoa; Chordata; Mammalia; Rodentia; Sciuridae.